This 495-nucleotide ribosomal RNA is filed under the name uncultured bacterium. RNAcentral describes it as "bacterial SSU rRNA". It matches the Rfam family "Bacterial small subunit ribosomal RNA", at positions 903 to 1397 of the family's 1533-position model. The record is from RNAcentral.
AAAGGAAUUGACGGGGGCCCGCACAAGCAGUGGAGCAUGUGGUUUAAUUCGAAGCAACGCGAAGAACCUUACCAGGGCUUGACAUCCCGAUGACCCCUCUAGAGAUAGAGGCUUCUCUUCGGAGACAUCGGUGACAGGUGGUGCAUGGUUGUCGUCAGCUCGUGUCGUGAGAUGUUGGGUUAAGUCCCGCAACGAGCGCAACCCUUAAUCUUAGUUGCCAGCAUUCAGUUGGGCACUCUAAGGUGACUGCCGGUGACAAACCGGAGGAAGGUGGGGAUGACGUCAAAUCAUCAUGCCCCUUAUGUCCUGGGCUACACACGUGCUACAAUGGUUGGUACAGAGGGAUGCGAGACCGCGAGGUGGAGCCAAUCCCAAAAAGCCAAUCUCAGUUCGGAUUGCAGGCUGCAAUUCGCCUGUAUGAAGCCGGAAUUGCUAGUAAUCGCGGAUCAGCAUGCCGCGGUGAAUACGUUCCCGGGCCUUGUACACACCGCCCGU